RNAcentral lists this ribosomal RNA (277 nucleotides) under uncultured bacterium. Its description in RNAcentral is "partial 16S ribosomal RNA". It matches the Rfam family "Bacterial small subunit ribosomal RNA", at positions 28 to 305 of the family's 1533-position model. The record is from RNAcentral.
GAUAAACGCUGGCGGCGUGCCUAAUGCAUGCAAGUCGAACGAGGGCGUCCUUCGGGGCGUUUCGAGUGGCGGACGGGUGAGGAACACGUACGAGACCUGCCCAUCGGUUGGGAAUACCCCCUCGAAAGGGGGGCUAAUGCCGGAUACGGUCCCUGGCAGCAAGGCUGGGGAGGAAAGCCCGAGAGGGCGCCGAUGGAGGGGCGUGCGGCCGAUUAGCUGGUUGGUGGGGUAAAGGCCUACCAAGGCUGCGAUCGGUAGCUGGUCUGAGAGGAUGGUC